GGCCGGUUAGCUCAGUUGGUUGAGCUUGGUGUUGAUAACACCAAGGUUGUGGGUUCCAUCCCUGUUCAGUCCC
Molecule: transfer RNA, 73 nt
Filed under: Apaloderma vittatum (bar-tailed trogon)
Lineage: Eukaryota; Metazoa; Chordata; Aves; Trogoniformes; Trogonidae
Rfam family: tRNA
About the family: Transfer RNA (tRNA) molecules are approximately 80 nucleotides in length. Their secondary structure includes four short double-helical elements and three loops (D, anti-codon, and T loops).
Source: Rfam by way of RNAcentral